Molecule: non-coding RNA, 260 nt
Filed under: Attheya septentrionalis
Lineage: Eukaryota; Bacillariophyta; Biddulphiophyceae; Attheyales; Attheyaceae
Source: RNAcentral
AGAAAAGAAAGCAGUCCAAAUGGAAAAAUAUAAAUUGGAUCCUGGCAUUGUUUCCUCUCCACUCGUUGUACUGGCACAUGAUGUUCCUACAAUUGUUGCUGCAAUUCCCCCAUCCUGUGUCAACGUGCCCAAGCUACAAAUGAAAAUAAUGGCAUGUAUCCAAGCCGAAGAAGAAAUGCGAAAAAGCAGCAAGGAUUUUAGCUCUCUUCCAGAUAUUCCUCAACAAUUCGAUGAACCUAUAUUGACUAGGAAAAAAGAGA